RNAcentral lists this ribosomal RNA (330 nucleotides) under Triticum aestivum (bread wheat). RNAcentral's name for it is "partial small subunit ribosomal RNA". The record is from RNAcentral. Lineage: Eukaryota; Viridiplantae; Streptophyta; Magnoliopsida; Poales; Poaceae.
AUGGCCUCCGAGACUGUUGUCCUCAAGGUGGCAAUGUCCUGCGGAGGUUGCUCGGGGGCGGUUAAAAGGGUGCUCACCAAAAUGGAAGGCGUCGAGAGCUUCGACAUAGACAUGGAGCAGCAGAAGGUGACCGUGAAGGGCAACGUCAAGCCAGAAGACGUUUUCCAGACGGUCUCCAAGACCGGGAAGAAGACCGCCUUCUGGGAGGCCGAAGCCACUCCUGUACCGGAGGCUACCCCGGCAGCCGACGCCGUGCCUGCACCUGAGGCAACCCCGGCAGCAGACGCCGCGCCUGCACCGGAGGUGACCCCGGCCAACACCGUCGCUUGA